CGCAUGGAGGUGGGCGGGACGGGUGAGUAACGCGUGGGCAACCUGCCCUGUACAGGGGGACAACACUUAGAAAUAGGUGCUAAUACCGCAUAACGGGGGAGCCGCAUGGCACCCCCCUGAAAACUCCGGUGGUACAGGAUGGGCCCGCGUCUGAUUAGCUGGUUGGCAGGGUAACGGCCUACCAAGGCGACGAUCAGUAGCCGGCCUGAGAGGGCGGACGGCCACACUGGGACUGAGACACGGCCCAGACUCCUACGGGAGGCAGCAG
RNAcentral lists this ribosomal RNA (268 nucleotides) under uncultured bacterium. RNAcentral describes it as "partial 16S ribosomal RNA". It matches the Rfam family "Bacterial small subunit ribosomal RNA", at positions 84 to 354 of the family's 1533-position model. The record is from RNAcentral.